Lucilia cuprina (Australian sheep blowfly) is the source of this 1067-nucleotide long non-coding RNA. RefSeq lists it as uncharacterized. The record is from RefSeq and is a predicted model, not a curated record. The transcript has 2 exons. NCBI's taxonomy places the organism in Eukaryota, Metazoa, Arthropoda, Insecta, Diptera, Calliphoridae.
UUGGUACAAAAGAAAUAAAAACCUAUUUCAUACAAAAAUAUAUUAAAAACAAGUGCUAAAUAGAAGAAUCAUUGAAAAUAAUAAAAAAGUGCAAAAUAGUGUCAAAAGGAAAUAAUAUAAAUUUCCCCAUUAAUCACCAACCUUUUCAAACACUUCAAAAAGAAGCAAAAAAAAAAAUAAGAAACGGACUUACAUAAAGGCAUUUCCAAUUAAAUAGACAUUUAAAUGGACUUUCGUAAAUAGCUAAUACAAGUGUUCCCCAAUAAUUCCCAAGGAUUCAAGUAAAUUCCUUUUACUUUAGAGUCCCUUCAUAUGAAUAAUUACCAACCAAAAAAUAAAACUAAAAUUAUUUAUUUCAUUACUCUCACAUAAGCAAAACAAUGCAAUUGUUAAUUUAUAUUGUUGUUGUUUUGUCUUCUCAUUUUAUAUAUUUAACAUAAAAAUUGUUUUAAACAUUUUAUUAUUAACUAAUAUUUUAAUACUUUAAUAUUAUUGUCUUUCAGACCUUUAGUAGAAACAAAAAAGAAAACACUUCCAAGCAUGCAGUCAGUUUUGUUUGCUUAGCCUGUCAAGAUUGCUGUUUUCCAUUCCAAUGACUCAUUACUCCUCUCUCUCUCUCUCGCUCUCUCACUCUCUCUCUCUUACUGUACUCUCAGAGGGGGAAACACAGGCAGUUUUGUAGUAAAAUUUUGUGUAAUAAAUCAAAUAAAUUUAAAGAACUCAACAAUUACCAUCAACCAACCAACAAACCAACCAACCAACAUAACAAUAAUUAAUAAUUUUUCACCUGUAAAAGUGCAAUUAUAAAAAGGUGAAAUUGUAAAAUGGGUUAAUGUGUCCAGUACAAUGUAUAUCUCAAGCCAUUUAAAUGGAAACUUCUUCUACCUACAGAAUGAACAUAAAAUCCUGCAGACUACCAACAUCUACCAAAUAUGGAAACUAAUGGAAGCGGAUUUUUAAAUGGAUGUAAUAAUUUUUAUAUAAUUUAUUUUAUACAACUUAAAUUAUGUUUAAUAACGCCAAAUAAUUUUAUAUCAAUAAAAAAAUUUGUAAUUAAAAAAAACAAA